Xyrauchen texanus (razorback sucker) is the source of this 1041-nucleotide long non-coding RNA. RefSeq lists it as uncharacterized. Lineage: Eukaryota; Metazoa; Chordata; Actinopteri; Cypriniformes; Catostomidae. The record is from RefSeq and is a predicted model, not a curated record. The transcript has 5 exons.
AAACAGGCAGAAACAAUGAUGAUAAAGUAAAGAUGAACCCAAGUGCAGUUUAUUCUUAUAACGUGAAACAGUAUCCCUAACUAUGAAAGUGAAAGAAAACAAAACAAGAAACCAAGGACCAAACUAAUAAUGACAAAAUUAGACACGACAUGAAAUAACUAAUGCUAAGGCUGGACAGGACUGGAACAACACUACAAGGUACAUGUAUACAAACUGGACUAAACUAUAGGUGAACAGCAAGGUUACACGUGCACAGGCAAGACCAAACUAUAGGUGAACAGCAAGGUUACACGUGCACAGGCAAGACCAAACUAUAGGUGAACAGCAAGGUUACACGUGCACAGGCAAGACCAAACUAUAGGUGAACAGCAAGGUUACACGUGCACAGGCAAGACCAAACUAUAGGUGAACAGCAAGGUUACACGUGCACAGGCAAGACCAAACUAUAGGUGAACAGCAAGGUUACACGUGCACAGGCAAGACCAAACUAUAGGUGAACAGCAAGGUUACACGUGCACAGGCAAGACCAAACUAUAGGUGAACAGCAAGGUUACACGUGCACAGGCAAGACCAAACUAUAGGUGAACAGCAAGGUUACACGUGCACAGGCAAGACCAAACUAUAGGUGAACAGCAAGGUUACACGUGCACAGGCAAGACCAAACUAUAGGUGAACAACAAGGUUACACGUGCACAGGCAAGACCAAACUAUAGGUGAACAACAAGGUUACAAGUGCACAGGCAAGACUAAACUAUAGGUGAACAACAAGGUUACAAGUGCAAUACCUGACAAGUUACAAAGGCAAACAUGAGGGUUUAAAUACACAAGACCCGGGAAACAAAGGCCAAUAAACAAACAGAACUUUCAAACAAGAUAACAAGACAAUUAACUAAAACCAAUGACAAACUAGAACUGAAUCAAAGUAAUCAAACAAUAAACCAAUGAAAACCGGACACAUGAACAAGGGAAAACAGGAAUUGACAAGGACUAGAAAACAGGAACUAAACAGGAAAUUUCAAAAUAAAAGUACAAAAACAAAAG